UACAGGGGGUGCAAGCGUUGUCCGGAAUGAUUGGGCGUAAAGCAUCUGUAGGUGGUUUCUAAAGUCAACUGUUAAAUCCCAGAGCUCAACUUUGGACAAGCAGUUGAGUACUUAGAGACUUGAGUAUGGUAGGGGUAGAGGGAAUUCCUAGUGGAGCGGUGAAAUGCACAGAGAUUAGGAAGAACACCAGUGGCGAAAGCGCUCUACUGGGCCAUGACUGACACUGAGAGAUGAAAGUUAGGGGAGCGAAAAGG
Molecule: ribosomal RNA, 254 nt
Filed under: uncultured bacterium
Lineage: Bacteria
Description: partial 16S ribosomal RNA
Rfam family: Bacterial small subunit ribosomal RNA
Source: RNAcentral